AGCAGUCGCCACGGUAAUACGAGGGGGGCAAGCGUUGUUCGGAAUUAUUGGGCGUAAAGGGCGCGUAGGCGGUUUGGCAAGUUUGGUGUGAAAUCUUCGGGCUCAACUCGAAGUCUGCACCGAAAACUGCCGGGCUUGAGUAUGGGAGAGGUGAGUGGAAUUUCCGGUGUAGCGGUGAAAUGCGUAGAUAUCGGAAGGAACACCUGUGGCGAAAGCGGCUUACUGGACCAUUACUGACGCUGAGGCGCGAAAGCUAGGGGAGCAAACAGGAUUAGAUACCCCGGUAGUCCCUGUCUCUUAUAC
This 303-nucleotide ribosomal RNA is filed under the name uncultured bacterium. RNAcentral's name for it is "partial 16S ribosomal RNA". It matches the Rfam family "Bacterial small subunit ribosomal RNA", at positions 507 to 807 of the family's 1533-position model. The record is from RNAcentral.